GGAAAGGAUAGAUUCUUUCUCCAAACCAAUCCAACUAAUGUUUGUUCUUGCACAGCAAAUUUCCACGUUGCAAUUAAUGAGAGAUUUUUCUAUAUUUUUUCUUUUUUUCCAGCCGAGUCUCUGUCUGGUUGGAGAAAGCUAUAAAUCCUCAUGGACUUCUGCAACACCUAAUAAAAAAUUCCUAUACUCUUAGCAUAUAAGAAAAGAAUAUCUCACCAAAGACACGUGUACGGCUCUAGCUUCCCAAGUUGCUCGCUUAAGUCAAUUUCUCCCUUUCAAAAAAUCAAACCGGACGUAAAUUUUUAGUCCCUCAGUGGGUUUCUCAUUUUUCCUCCCUCAAUCGAUCGUCAGAAACUUUUUCAACAUGGGUACAAGAUCCAAACCCAUUACUACUGCUCUUUUCCUUUGCUUCCUUCUGUUGCCUUUGGUUUUUGCUGCACAUAAUGAUGGAUUGGUCAGAAUUGGACUGAAAAAGAGGAAGUUCGAUCAAAACAACCUUGUGGCUGCGCAGUUUGAGUCCAAAGAAGGAGAGUCAUUGCGAACUUCUUUUAAAAAGUAUCAUUUCCAUGGGAAUUUAGGUGAUGCAGAAGAUAUUGAUAUAAUAUCACUAAAGAAUUACAUGGAUGCCCAGUAUUUUGGUGAGAUUGGUAUUGGUACUCCCCCACAGAAGUUCACUGUGAUAUUUGACACUGGUAGUUCUAAUCUCUGGGUGCCCUCUUCCAAGUGCUAUUUUUCAGUUGCCUGCUAUUUCCAUUCCAGGUACAAGUCUGGCCAUUCAAGCACCUACAAGAAGAAUGGAAAAUCAGCAGAUAUCCAUUAUGGAACUGGUGCUAUUUCUGGCUUCUUUAGUCAAGACCAUGUAAAAGUUGGUGGUCUUGUGGUCAAGGAUCAGGAAUUUAUUGAAGCCACUAAGGAGCCCAGCAUCACGUUCUUGGUAGCAAAGUUUGAUGGUAUACUUGGACUUGGAUUCGAAGAGAUAUCAGUUGGAAAGGCUGUACCUGUGUGGUACAACAUGGUCAAUCAGGGUCUUGUUAAAGAACCUGUUUUCUCAUUUUGGUUUAACCGCAAUGCUGAUGAAGAUGAAGGAGGUGAGAUCGUUUUUGGUGGGAUGGAUCCCAAGCAUUACAAGGGUGAGCAUACAUACGUCCCUGUGACACAGAAAGGGUAUUGGCAGUUUAACAUGGGUGACGUCUUGAUUGAUGGUAAAACAACUGGAAUUUGUGGCAGUGGCUGUGCAGCAAUUGCUGACUCUGGAACUUCUUUGUUGGCUGGACCUACGGGCAUCAUUGCUGAGGUAAACCAUGCCAUUGGAGCAACUGGAAUUGUUAGUCAAGAAUGCAAGGCUGUUGUUGCUCAAUAUGGAGAAACCAUAAUUGAGAUGCUUUUAGCAAAGGACCAACCACAAAAAAUUUGCUCACAAAUUGGUUUGUGCACAUUUGAUGGUUCUCGAGGUGUAAGUGUGGGCAUUAAGAGUGUCGUGAAUGAGAAUAUUCAGGGAGUGGCUAGUGGUUUGCGUGAUGCAAUGUGCUCUACUUGUGAGAUGGCAGUUGUAUGGAUGCAGAAUCAGCUCAAGCUGAAUAACACUCAGGAGCGCAUACUUAACUAUGCCAAUGAGCUAUGUGAACGAUUGCCCAGUCCAAUGGGAGAAUCAGCAGUAGAUUGUGGUGGUUUGUCUACCAUGCCUAAUGUUUCAUUUACAAUUGGUGGGAAGGUUUUUGACCUCUCCCCUGAGCAGGUAUGAUUGAUCAUUUGGCUUUGUUGGGUUUGUCUGUAUUCCCAGAGCAUCACAUGUACCUUGGUACCUGUCAUGUUUACCCACAUUACUUGGAUUUUGAGUUGAGAAAUGAAAAUUGACCUAUGGAUUCAGAACACCCUACCCACCCCCAACAAAUAAAAUGAAAUAAAAUUAUUCAUUUCACUCUUUGGAGUAGCAUAAUUUUCCAUAAGCAAGCUUAUAUGUCACGUUUUUUAAGUGUUUCACUGGCUUGUAUAUUUUUUGUGAUGGUGAUAGUAUGUCCUCAAAGUGGGUGAGGGAGAAGCCGCCCAAUGCAUUAGUGGAUUUACAGCUUUAGAUGUGCCCCCACCUCGUGGUCCCCUCUGGAUAUUGGGAGAUGUUUUCAUGGGUCGCUUCCAUACAGUAUUCGACUAUGGUAAUAAGAGAGUUGGAUUUGCGGAAGCUGCAUAAAUAAUUAUCCCUCGUUCAUCUGUAUGCUUUUUACAUGAAAGUGUUUCGUGGCCGACCUUGACUUGCCAGAAUGUAAAUAUCAGAACAGUAAUGUGGCUUGUUAUGUUGUCAAACUAGUACAAUACCUUCACAUCUCGUAGUAUGAAGGUUGACAAUAUGAAUGUUGGGUCUUGGAAAAGAGCCUUAAAUAAUAGUAUAUGUAAAUUUUAUAAUCAUCAGGCAGCCCAGUGUGAAUGCCGUGUAUUCGUUAAGCUUAUCCGAAGCUAAUCCUAAAUCUUUUUAGGUGGGGGAAAGAAGAGGGG
RNAcentral lists this unclassified non-coding RNA (2487 nucleotides) under Hevea brasiliensis (rubber tree). The record is from RNAcentral. Lineage: Eukaryota; Viridiplantae; Streptophyta; Magnoliopsida; Malpighiales; Euphorbiaceae.